CCUACGGGUGGCUGCAGUGGGGAAUAUUGCACAAUGGGGGAAACCCUGAUGCAGCGACGCCGCGUGAGUGAAGAAGGAUUUCGGUAGGUAAAGCUCUGUCAGCAGGGAAGAAAAGGACGGUACCUGACCAAGAAGCCCCGGCUAACUACGUGCCAGCAGCCGCGGUAAUACGUAGGGGGCAAGCGUUAUCCGGAUUUACUGGGUGUCAAGGGAGCGUAGACGGCAGGGCAAGUCUGGAGUGACAGGCGGGGGCUCAACCCCCGGACUGCUCUGGAAACUGCCAGGCUGGAGGGCAUGAGAGGUUAGUGGAAUUCCUCGUGUCGCGGUUAACUUCGUAGAUCUUAGGAGGAACACCGGUGGCGACGGCGGCUUACUGGACUGUAACUGCCGUUGAGGCUCGAAAGCGUGGGGAGCACAC
Molecule: ribosomal RNA, 418 nt
Filed under: uncultured bacterium
Lineage: Bacteria
Description: partial 16S ribosomal RNA
Rfam family: Bacterial small subunit ribosomal RNA
Source: RNAcentral